UACGUAGGGGGCAAGCGUUGUCCGGAAUUAUUGGGCGUAAAGAGCGUGUAGGCGGCCAGACAGGUCCGUUGUGAAAACUCGAGGCUCAACCUCGAGACGUCGACGGAAACCGUCUGGCUAGAGUCCGGAAGAGGAGUGUGGAAUUCCUGGUGUAGCGGUGAAAUGCGCAGAUAUCAGGAAGAACACCUAUGGCGAAGGCAGCACUCUGGGACGGUACUGACGCUGAGACGCGAAAGCGUGGGGAGCGAACAGG
RNAcentral lists this ribosomal RNA (253 nucleotides) under uncultured bacterium. RNAcentral's name for it is "partial 16S ribosomal RNA". It matches the Rfam family "Bacterial small subunit ribosomal RNA", at positions 524 to 776 of the family's 1533-position model. The record is from RNAcentral.